ACUGAGAUACGGGCCAGACUUCUACGGAAGGCAGCCGUCGGGGAUAUUGCGCAAUCGGCGAAAGCCGUAUGCAGCGACUCCGCGUGGGCGAUUAACGCCUUCGUGUUGUGAAGCCCUUUUAUGGGGGAAGAGACAAGGACGGUACCCCAAGAAUAAGCGUCUGCUAACUACAGUGCCAGCAGCCGCGGUCAAACGUAGGACGCAAGCGUUAUCCGGAUUUACUGGGCGUAAAGAGCGUUGAGGCGGUUCCGUAAGUCGGUGCGGUGAAAAGCCCCGGGCUUAAGCCGGGGAGGUCGUUCAAUACUGCGGGACUUGAGGGCAGCAUGAGGGAGGCGGAAUUCCCGGUGUAUCGGUGAAAUGCGUAGAUAUCGGGAGGAACACCAGUGUCUAAGGCGGACUCCUGGGCUGUAUCUGACGCUGAAAGCGAAAGCUAGGGGAGCGAACGGGGAUUAGAUACCCCAGGUAGUCAUAGCCGUAAACGAUGGAUGCAUGGGUUUGGGGGGUAUAGAUCCCCUCCGUGCCGAAGCUAACGGCGUUAAGCAUCCCGCCUUGGGGAUUACGGCCGCAAGGCUUGAACUCAAACGAAUUGACGGGGGCCCGCACAAGCAGCAGAGCGUGUGGUUUAAUUCGAUGAUACACGAAGAACCUUACCUGGGCUUGACAUGUAGGUAGUAGUGAAGCGAAAGCGGA
Molecule: ribosomal RNA, 690 nt
Filed under: uncultured organism
Description: bacterial SSU rRNA
Rfam family: Bacterial small subunit ribosomal RNA
Source: RNAcentral